AAAUUGAAGAGUUUGAUCAUGGCUCAGAUUGAACGCUGGCGGCAGGCCUAACACAUGCAAGUCGAACGGUAACAGGAAGCAGCUUGCUGCUUCGCUGACAAGUGGCGGACGGGUGAGUAAUGUCUGGGAAACUGCCUGAUGGAGGGGGAUAACUACUGGAAACGGUGGCUAAUACCGCAUGACGUCGCAAGACCAAAGAGGGGGACCUUCGGGCCUCUUGCCAUCAGAUGUGCCCAGAUGGGAUUAGCUUGUUGGUGAGGUAACGGCUCACCA
Molecule: ribosomal RNA, 273 nt
Filed under: Salmonella enterica
Lineage: Bacteria; Pseudomonadati; Pseudomonadota; Gammaproteobacteria; Enterobacterales; Enterobacteriaceae
Description: partial 16S ribosomal RNA
Rfam family: Bacterial small subunit ribosomal RNA
Source: RNAcentral